Oreochromis niloticus (Nile tilapia) is the source of this 331-nucleotide long non-coding RNA. RefSeq lists it as uncharacterized. The transcript has 2 exons. The record is from RefSeq and is a predicted model, not a curated record. Lineage: Eukaryota; Metazoa; Chordata; Actinopteri; Cichliformes; Cichlidae.
UGGCCACCGGAGCUCAACAGAUUUCCACAGGAAAUCUGGGGGCGGCUGUUAAAAAGUCCUCCGUCCAGGGCAUGCGUUACCUGCAUGGGAGGAGCAUGAUUCCCCCAGGGGCCAGCAGCCAAUCAGAGUGCUCACCCGUUCUCUCCUUGCUGUGGCAAUUAAAAGUGUAGUCGGAGAGUAACGCUGCUGCAGGCAAGUUGUGGACUUGAGUUGAAUCGGACUAAGGCGGGCAAGAGUGCGUUCAUAGAACCAAACCACAUCCUUACUUGCCAGCGAGAGUGUGUGUUCGAUGUGGGCUCGUGGCAAAUAAAGUUCUUCCACUCUGACAUCA